RNAcentral lists this microRNA precursor (253 nucleotides) under Oryza sativa (Asian cultivated rice). RNAcentral's name for it is "miR5526 stem-loop (osa-MIR5526)". Lineage: Eukaryota; Viridiplantae; Streptophyta; Magnoliopsida; Poales; Poaceae. The record is from miRBase by way of RNAcentral.
GGAUGUGGGAUUCAAACUCAAGACCUCUCACCUCAGCUCUCAAACACAUUACCAUACCAUCUACUACACACAUCUGACUUGGAUAGAGAUGUUUUUUUUAACUAAGCCUAGAAGCAUCUUUCACCAACCGAUACUAAAAAUAUCUUUAGUUCUAGUUGGUAACACCAACCUAGACUAAAAAUUCUUCUACAAUUCGAACCUACACAUUCUAAGGGCAUAUACAAAGGUAGAGUCAGGUAUGAGCUCUACGUUA